This is a long non-coding RNA of Silurus meridionalis, 743 nucleotides long. RefSeq lists it as uncharacterized. The record is from RefSeq and is a predicted model, not a curated record. The transcript is spliced from 3 exons. Lineage: Eukaryota; Metazoa; Chordata; Actinopteri; Siluriformes; Siluridae.
UCUGAGUAUACAGACCGGACACUCCUUCCACACAAGGUCGUUUGUCACCCCGGCGUCUCAGUGAAAGGCAUGGAUGACAAGUCAGAGGGAAAAAGCUAAUAAGCUCAGAGCUAAAAAUAGGCCGUGUGCUGGGUGCUGGGUGCGAAGGAAAAUUCAGGAAAAUGUCACUUCAUCCUCGGAAACAAAGACGGGAACGGCGGGAACCACCGUGAGUCUUCAGGAGACUUUUAGAGAGGAUGUGUGUGUGUGGGCUACUCAAGAUCUUCCACUCCAACCCCUGUCUUCAACGUAUAUGCAUAGAGAUGUUUCCAGAGGCAUUGUCAUGCCAGAACAGGUCCACAUCCGUCAAGUCUUAAUGCAAAACAGAAGCAGAAGCAGAAAUUCAUUCAAUCCUAUUUUUUUCAUGGUCCAUUUACUGCCCUCUGCUGCUCAUAACAAAUCAGUGCAUCUUCAAAAUAAAUAGUAAGCUGGGUUAAAAUAUGUAGAAAGCUUUUUUGUAAAAAAAAUCCAGAACACAGCAGGUUGGUUUUAUGAAAAAUCAUUCAUUUACAUGUAUAUAUUGUAUAUAAAGCAAUGAAGCAACUUACUGUAAUUUUGAUGUGUAAUUCAUUCAUUCUUUCUUUUACCUUCAAAAAAAUUACUUUUACUUUUGCUUCAUUUGUCACCAAAAAAUUCUCACUUUCUAGCACCUUUUCAUAUUUUGAGAAUGUUUCACGACAUCAAAUGAUUUAUAAUUGAAUAAA